RNAcentral lists this ribosomal RNA (460 nucleotides) under uncultured bacterium. RNAcentral describes it as "partial 16S ribosomal RNA". It matches the Rfam family "Bacterial small subunit ribosomal RNA", at positions 338 to 795 of the family's 1533-position model. The record is from RNAcentral.
CCUACGGGAGGCAGCAGUGAGGAAUAUUGGUCAAUGGACGCAAGUCUGAACCAGCCAUGCCGCGUGCAGGAAGACGGCCCUAUGAGUUGUAAACUGCUUUUGUACGAGGGUAAAUCCCGAUACGUGUAUCGGGUUGCAAGUAUCGUACGAAUAAGGAUCGGCUAACUCCGUGCCAGCAGCCGCGGUAAUACGGAGGAUUCAAGCGUUAUCCGGAUUUAUUGGGUUUAAAGGGUGCGUAGGCGGUUCGAUAAGUUAGAUGUGAAAUCCCGGGGCUCAACCCCGGCAGUGCCUUUGAUACUGGCGGGCUAGAGUUUAGUUGCGGUAGGCGGAAUGUAUGGUGUAGCGGUGAAAUGCAUAGAGAUCAUACAGAACACCGAUUGCGAAGGCAGCUUACUAAACUACGACUGACGUUGAUGCACGAAAGCGUGGGGAGCAAACAGGAUUAGAUACCCCGGUAGUC